RNAcentral lists this ribosomal RNA (470 nucleotides) under uncultured Enterobacterales bacterium. Its description in RNAcentral is "bacterial SSU rRNA". It matches the Rfam family "Bacterial small subunit ribosomal RNA", at positions 64 to 522 of the family's 1533-position model. Lineage: Bacteria; Pseudomonadati; Pseudomonadota; Gammaproteobacteria; Enterobacterales. The record is from RNAcentral.
GAACGGUAGCACAGAGGAGCUUGCUCCUUGGGUGACGAGUGGCGGACGGGUGAGUAAUGUCUGGGAAACUGCCCGAUGGAGGGGGAUAACUACUGGAAACGGUAGCUAAUACCGCAUAACGUCGCAAGACCAAAGAGGGGGACCUUCGGGCCUCUUGCCAUCGGAUGUGCCCAGAUGGGAUUAGCUAGUUGGUGGGGUAAAGGCCUACCAAGGCGACGAUCUGUAGCGGGUCUGAGAGGAUGAUCCGCCACACUGGGACUGAGACACGGCCCAGACUCCUACGGGAGGCAGCAGUGGGGAAUAUUGGACAAUGGGGGGAACCCUGAUCCAGCCAUGCCGCGUGUGUGAAGAAGGCCUUAUGGUUGUAAAGCACUUUAAGCGAGGAGGAGGCUACUGAGACUAAUACUCUUGGAUAGUGGACGUUACUCGCAGAAUAAGCACCGGCUAACUCUGUGCCAGCCGCCGCGGUA